This 73-nucleotide transfer RNA is filed under the name Candidatus Zixiibacteriota bacterium. It matches the Rfam family "tRNA". Rfam says of the family: Transfer RNA (tRNA) molecules are approximately 80 nucleotides in length. Their secondary structure includes four short double-helical elements and three loops (D, anti-codon, and T loops). Lineage: Bacteria; Pseudomonadati; Candidatus Zixiibacteriota. The record is from Rfam by way of RNAcentral.
UCCCCUGUAGCUCAGUUGGUAGAGCAGGUGACUGUUAAUCACCGGGUCGCAGGUUCGAGUCCUGCCGGGGGAG